Molecule: ribosomal RNA, 373 nt
Filed under: uncultured organism
Description: partial 16S ribosomal RNA
Rfam family: Bacterial small subunit ribosomal RNA
Source: RNAcentral
GUAGGUGGCAAGCGUUGUCCGGAAUUAUUGGGCGUAAAGCGCGCGCAGGCGGUUCUUUAAGUCUGAUGUGAAAGCCCACGGCUCAACCGUGGAGGGUCAUUGGAAACUGGAGAACUUGAGUACAGAAGAGGAAAGCGGAAUUCCACGUGUAGCGGUGAAAUGCGUAGGGAUGUGGAGGAACACCAGUGGCGAAGGCGGCUUUCUGGUCUGUAACUGACGCUGAGGCGCGAAAGCGUGGGGAGCAAACAGGGAUUAGAUACCCUGGUAGUCCACGCCGUAAACGAUGAGUGCUAAGUGUUAGGGGGUUUCCGCCCCCUUAGUGCUGCAGCUAACGCAUUAAGCACUCCGCCUGGGGAGUACAGCCGCAAGGCUG